Molecule: ribosomal RNA, 484 nt
Filed under: Salmonella enterica subsp. enterica serovar Typhimurium
Lineage: Bacteria; Pseudomonadati; Pseudomonadota; Gammaproteobacteria; Enterobacterales; Enterobacteriaceae
Description: partial 23S ribosomal RNA
Rfam family: Bacterial large subunit ribosomal RNA
Source: RNAcentral
GUGCUAAUCUGCGAUAAGCGCCGGUAAGGUGAUAUGAACCGUUAUAACCGGCGAUACCCGAAUGGGGAAACCCAGUGUGAUUCGUCACACUAUCAUUAACUGAAUCCAUAGGUUAAUGAGGCGAACCGGGGGAACUGAAACAUCUAAGUACCCCGAGGAAAAGAAAUCAACCGAGAUUCCCCCAGUAGCGGCGAGCGAACGGGGAGGAGCCCAGAGCCUGAAUCAGCAUGUGUGUUAGUGGAAGCGUCUGGAAAGGCGCGCGAUACAGGGUGACAGCCCCGUACACAAAAGCGCAUGUGCUGUGAGCUCGAUGAGUAGGGCGGGACACGUGGUAUCCUGUCUGAAUAUGGGGGGACCAUCCUCCAAGGCUAAAUACUCCUGACUGACCGAUAGUGAACCAGUACCGUGAGGGAAAGGCGAAAAGAACCCCGGCGAGGGGAGUGAAAAAGAACCUGAAACCGUGUACGUACAAGCAGUGGGAGCA